AUGGCCGACGUCGAGAAUCCUGCAGGUCCCAACAAGGGCGAUGACGAGUUCGUGGUGGCGGAGCCGAGCGAGUGCAUCGGGUUCGGGAAUCCUGUUCCCAAGAAGGACGGCCACGGCCUCGUGGUGAUGGUGGCGGAGCGGAGCAAGUUCGUCCGGAUCGCGGCCAUGUGCAUGGCGCUCUUCUUUGGAUUGGCGUUACUAUUCAUCUCGAUCCUCCUGCUCAUACUCUUCGAUAACGCCUAUCCUGGGACCAAGCUCGCCGUCGUUGCGUUUGUCGCGGGGAUCAUAGGCAUGGCUGUUGCCUGGACUUGGUUAUCGCUCGUCUACCGUAUCCUUGACGUCGAAGAUGCACAGGGACGUGGAAGACUCAUAGAUAGGUUCGUCCAAUUUCACGUCGAUUUUUUUAAGCUGAUAGUUUGCUGA
RNAcentral lists this ribosomal RNA (423 nucleotides) under Triticum aestivum (bread wheat). Its description in RNAcentral is "partial small subunit ribosomal RNA". The record is from RNAcentral. Lineage: Eukaryota; Viridiplantae; Streptophyta; Magnoliopsida; Poales; Poaceae.